Molecule: ribosomal RNA, 497 nt
Filed under: uncultured bacterium
Lineage: Bacteria
Description: partial 16S ribosomal RNA
Rfam family: Bacterial small subunit ribosomal RNA
Source: RNAcentral
GAUGAACGCUGGCGGCGUGCCUAAUACAUGCAAGUCGAGCGAACAGACGAGGAGCUUGCUCCUCUGACGUUAGCGGCGGACGGGUGAGUAACACGUGGAUAACCUACCUAUAAGACUGGGAUAACUUCGGGAAACCGGAGCUAGUACCGGAUAAUAUAUUGAACCGCAUGGUUCAAUAGUGAAAGACGGUUUUGCUGUCACUUAUAGAUGGAUCCGCGCCGCAUUAGCUAGUUGGUAAGGUAACGGCUUACCAAGGCGACGAUGCGUAGCCGACCUGAGAGGGUGAUCGGCCACACUGGAACUGAGACACGGUCCAGACUCCUACGGGAGGCAGCAGUAGGGAAUCUUCCGCAAUGGGCGAAAGCCUGACGGAGCAACGCCGCGUGAGUGAUGAAGGUCUUCGGAUUGUAAAACUCUGUUAUUAGGGAAGAACAAAUGUGUAAGUAACUAUGCACGUCUUGACGGUACCUAAUCAGAAAGCCACGGCUAACUACGUG